GGUAAAUUGGCCGAGUGUUAGGCGAUAGGCUGUAGUCCUACUUACAUUGGUUUAAUUCCUUUCUUUAUC
This 69-nucleotide transfer RNA is filed under the name Anolis ahli. RNAcentral's name for it is "tRNA-Tyr". It matches the Rfam family "tRNA". From Rfam's summary of the family: Transfer RNA (tRNA) molecules are approximately 80 nucleotides in length. Their secondary structure includes four short double-helical elements and three loops (D, anti-codon, and T loops). The record is from RNAcentral. Lineage: Eukaryota; Metazoa; Chordata; Lepidosauria; Squamata; Anolidae.